UGGGGAAUCUUGCGCAAUGCGCGAAAGCGUGACGCAGCAACGCCGCGUGGGGGAAGAAGGCCUUCGGGUUGUAAACCCCUUUCAGUUGGGACGCGGUACCUUCAGAAGAAGCCCCGGCUGGAGUGACGGUACUUCACAAGAAGCACCGGCUAACUAC
This 157-nucleotide ribosomal RNA is filed under the name uncultured bacterium. RNAcentral's name for it is "partial 16S ribosomal RNA". It matches the Rfam family "Bacterial small subunit ribosomal RNA", at positions 355 to 504 of the family's 1533-position model. The record is from RNAcentral.